Hippocampus zosterae (dwarf seahorse) is the source of this 1050-nucleotide long non-coding RNA. RefSeq lists it as uncharacterized. The transcript is spliced from 3 exons. The record is from RefSeq and is a predicted model, not a curated record. Lineage: Eukaryota; Metazoa; Chordata; Actinopteri; Syngnathiformes; Syngnathidae.
UGCGUCAGCCAUACGGUACACGUUCAAAUUACGCACAGACGUCGUGUUGGUCGGCUUGCUUAAAUAUCCGAUUUUUUCGCUAAAACCCCAAAUCUUUUUCAUUUUCAUUUGAACCCCGCACGUUUUGAAAUGUAUAUCGCGUCAAUGGAUAUGACCAAUUCUCAACACAUGGACGCCGUGCGGUUAAACUUGAAGCCUGCAACCAAGCUACGGUGGACACAACUUCGCGUGGCAGCAGAGGAGGACGAGGCCUUCGGAGAUUGUCGACGCAGCGCCGCCGGUGUCAAGUCCACGGGUACCAGGAAGAGCCAGGGACGGGACCGCCGUCGAAAGUUGACCAACGGCCCUUACAAAGUGGAGACGAGAGAGGAGCGACGACUUGCGGCUUGUCCUGGGCGACUUCACCCGGGAGCAAUGGCGCCGGAGAACACGACGCAGUACUUGAUAAGAGAGCAUGAAGACAACAUGGCGACGAGUAGCAAAAACCGCGAGAACGAAACUCCUCCGCCCGGACUUUGAGGAAAUGUUUGGCCCGUGUUGGUAGCACCCAUGACGGAAUGACGAAGCAGCAACUUUUCCCCCCUCGGAAAAGUGAGCGCCCCGUAGGGAGUGCUAUUCCCCCAGAAAAAGCCUCCCGCCGCCCCGGCCCCUCUCGACGAGCGAGCGGAGCAAAAGGCACCUGAGCUGGCGGUGUGGCCACUGCUUGAAAAGUCAGGUAACCAAGCAGCAAAAGGGCAGGUAUUGUUGCACUGCUUUGUCCUUCAAUGGUGCCAUGCAACCCUCUGUCACUGUGAGCGUUUUCCAGGUCAGCCCUGCCUAUCUGCCCACCGGGGACCGCAGGCUCUGCUGCGGGAGACCCAGGAGCCUCCUGAAAGGUGACUUUAAUCAAAUCAAAGACAUUAUUUUUGGUCUGAGCUCGAUAACGAGAGUCGCGGAUCGGUUAUGGAUCAUGUUUAUUCUGUAAAUGCGCUUGGCGUGGAGCAAUGUUAAUCGGGAUUUAUUAUGAGUGUGCAGUUUGUCAAAAAUAAAAGCACAAGAUUUAUACUGAAA